UCUCAGUUCGGAUUGGAGGCUGAAACCCGCCUCCAUGAAGUUGGAUUCGCUAGUAAUCGCGCAUCAGCCAUGGCGCGGUGAAUACGUUCCCGGGCCUUGUACACACCGCCCGUCAAGCCAUGGGAGCCGGGGGUGCCUGAAGUUCGUGACCGCAAGGAGCGACCUAGGGCAAAACUGGUGACUGGGGCUAAGUCGUAACAAGGUAUC
This 207-nucleotide ribosomal RNA is filed under the name uncultured bacterium. RNAcentral's name for it is "partial 16S ribosomal RNA". It matches the Rfam family "Bacterial small subunit ribosomal RNA", at positions 1286 to 1500 of the family's 1533-position model. The record is from RNAcentral.